RNAcentral lists this ribosomal RNA (432 nucleotides) under uncultured bacterium. Its description in RNAcentral is "partial 16S ribosomal RNA". It matches the Rfam family "Bacterial small subunit ribosomal RNA", at positions 29 to 507 of the family's 1533-position model. The record is from RNAcentral.
ACGCACGCUGGCGGCAUGCCUCACACAUGCCAGUCGAACGAGACCUUCGGGUCUAGUGGCGCACGGGUGCGUAACGCGUGGGAACCUGCCCUUAGGUUCGGAAUAACUCAGAGAAAUUUGAGCUAAUACCGGAUAAUGUCUUCGGACCAAAGAUUUAUCGCCUUUGGAUGGGCCCGCGUAGGAUUAGCUUGUUGGUGGGGUAAUGGCCUACCAAGGCGACGAUCCUUAGCUGGUCUGAGAGGAUGAUCAGCCACACUGGGACUGAGACACGGCCCAGACUCCUACGGGAGGCAGCAGUGGGGAAUAUUGGACAAUGGGCGAAAGCCUGAUCCAGCAAUGCCGCGUGAGUGAUGAAGGCCUUAGGGUUGUAAAGCUCUUUUACCAGGGAUGAUAAUGACAGUACCUGGAGAAUAAGCUCCGGCUAACUCCGUG